GUGAUAUGAACCGUUAUAACCGGCGAUACCCGAAUGGGGAAACCCAGUGUGAUUCGUCACACUAUCAUUAACUGAAUCCAUAGGUUAAUGAGGCGAACCGGGGGAACUGAAACAUCUAAGUACCCCGAGGAAAAGAAAUCAACCGAGAUUCCCCCAGUAGCGGCGAGCGAACGGGGAGGAGCCCAGAGCCUGAAUCAGCAUGUGUGUUAGUGGAAGCGUCUGGAAAGGCGCGCGAUACAGGGUGACAGCCCCGUACACAAAAGCGCAUGUGCUGUGAGCUCGAUGAGUAGGGCGGGACACGUGGUAUCCUGUCUGAAUAUGGGGGGACCAUCCUCCAAGGCUAAAUACUCCUGACUGACCGAUAGUGAACCAGUACCGUGAGGGAAAGGCGAAAAGAACCCCGGCGAGGGGAGUGAAAAAGAACCUGAAACCGUGUACGUACAAGCAGUGGGAGCNNAUAGGGGAGCCGGAGGGAAACCGAGUCUUAAUUGGGCGUUAAGUUGCAGGGUAUAGACCCGAAACCCGGUGAUCUAGCCAUGGGCAGGUUGAAGGUUGGGUAACACUAACUGGAGGACCGAACCGACUAAUGUUGAAAAAUUAGCGGAUGACCUGUGGCUGGGGGUGAAAGGCCAAUCAAACCGGGAGAUAGCUGGUUCUCCCCGAAAGCUAUUUAGGUAGCGCCUCGUGAAUUCAUCUCCGGGGGUAGAGCACUGUUUCGGCUAGGGGGCCAUCCCGGCUUACCAACCCGAUGCAAACUGCGAAUACCGGAGAAUGUUAUCACGGGAGACACACGGCGGGUGCUAACGUCCGUCGUGAAGAGGGAAACAACCCAGACCGCCAGCUAAGGUCCCAAAGUCAUGGUUAAGUGGGAAACGAUGUGGGAAGGCCCAGACAGCCAGGAUGUUGGCUUAGAAGCAGCCAUCAUUUAAAGAAAGCGUAAUAGCUCACUGGUCGAGUCGGCCUGCGCGGAAGAUGUAACGGGGCUAAACCAUGCACCGAAGCUGCGGCAGCGAACGUAUCACCCAAGACAACUUUACGGAGUUGACGAUUGACGGAGCGAAGCGACGUCAAAGCGUUCAUUAAAGUCGAGUUGGCUUAGGGAUACGUUCGUUGGGUAGGGGAGCGUUCUGUAAGCCUGUGAAGGUGUGUCGUGAGGCAUGCUGGAGGUAUCAGAAGUGCGAAUGCUGACAUAAGUAACGAUAAAGCGGGUGAAAAGCCCGCUCGCCGGAAGACCAAGGGUUCCUGUCCAACGUUAAUCGGGGCAGGGUGAGUCGACCCCUAAGGCGAGGCCGAAAGGCGUAGUCGAUGGGAAACGGGUUAAUAUUCCCGUACUUGGUGUUACUGCGAAGGGGGGACGGAGAAGGCUAUGUUGGCCGGGCGACGGUUGUCCCGGUUUAAGCGUGUAGGUGUGUGUUCCAGGUAAAUCCGGUUCACUUUAACACUGAGGCGUGACGACGAGGCACUACGGUGCUGAAGCAACAAAUGCCCUGCUUCCAGGAAAAGCCUCUAAGCAUCAGGUAACACGAAAUCGUACCCCAAACCGACACAGGUGGUCAGGUAGAGAAUACCAAGGCGCUUGAGAGAACUCGGGUGAAGGAACUAGGCAAAAUG
Molecule: ribosomal RNA, 1611 nt
Filed under: Salmonella enterica subsp. enterica serovar Typhimurium
Lineage: Bacteria; Pseudomonadati; Pseudomonadota; Gammaproteobacteria; Enterobacterales; Enterobacteriaceae
Description: bacterial LSU rRNA
Rfam family: Bacterial large subunit ribosomal RNA
Source: RNAcentral